RNAcentral lists this ribosomal RNA (451 nucleotides) under uncultured bacterium. Its description in RNAcentral is "bacterial SSU rRNA". It matches the Rfam family "Bacterial small subunit ribosomal RNA", at positions 29 to 524 of the family's 1533-position model. The record is from RNAcentral.
AACGAACGCUGGCGGCAUGCCUAACACAUGCAAGUCGAACGAGACCUUCGGGUCUAGUGGCGCACGGGUGCGUAACGCGUGGGAAUCUGCCCUUGGGUUCGGAAUAACAGUUAGAAAUGACUGCUAAUACCGGAUAAUGUCUUCGGACCAAAGAUUUAUCGCCCAGGGAUGAGCCCGCGUAGGAUUAGCUAGUUGGUGAGGUAAAGGCUCACCAAGGCGACGAUCCUUAGCUGGUCUGAGAGGAUGAUCAGCCACACUGGGACUGAGACACGGCCCAGACUCCUACGGGAGGCAGCAGUGGGGAAUAUUGGGACAAUGGGCGAAAGCCUGAUCCAGCAAUGCCGCGUGAGUGAUGAAGGCCUUAGGGUUGUAAAGCUCUUUUACCCGGGAUGAUAAUGACAGUACCGGGAGAAUAAGCUCCGGCUAACUCCGUGCCAGCAGCCGCGGUAAU